Molecule: ribosomal RNA, 142 nt
Filed under: Chlamydomonas reinhardtii
Lineage: Eukaryota; Viridiplantae; Chlorophyta; Chlorophyceae; Chlamydomonadales; Chlamydomonadaceae
Source: RNAcentral
CCUUGGUGCUCUUUGCUCAGUUGGACCCACACCAAUCCAUCCCGAACUUGGUUGUGAAAAAGCUGAGGGGACUGAAGAACUUUACGGGUCGCCGUCUGGAAUCUCAGUUCUAGUGCUAGGGUUAAAAAAUAUUUAAAUAAUG